AUAUAUAUAUACAUAUAUAUUCAGAAACACACACACCACACAUAAAUACCACAUUCACAUACACACCUCCUUCUUAUACCCUCCCAUACACAUACAUAUAAACACAAACUACACACACAUAAACACACACUAUACAUAUCACACACACACUGCACACAGCUACAUACAUACAUAACACACACACACACACACACACAUGCACACGCGCGCGUGCGCACACACACGCACAAAGUGGUUCCUUCUAGCUAUUAUUCAUCAUUUCUCUGCAUUCCCAAAUUUCCCAUGAUAUAAUUAGCAUCCCACAGUUUUAUAAUUGAAUGCUUUCUUUAAUUUCUUACUUCACAAUUCUUUAUUCUUAAAUGCAAAUCUACUCUUCCUAGUUAAGACUUUGAAAGCCAAGCCUUGGAGAUUUUGCUUGUAACGUUUGUAAUAUCUACAACUGUUAGGCACCUUGAGAGUACCUGCUGUGGUUUGGAACUGUCCCCCAAAGACUCUGGUGCUGAGGACUCAUUCCCAAUCUUAUUAUGCUAUUGGAUAGAUCCAAGAGACUCAUAAAACAUACAGUCUAUUGAUGUUGUCCCUGGUUUCCUGAGAGGUGAAAGGAAGAUCUCUAUUACUGAAGGAACAAUGUACUUCAGAAACAGGACCCCAAGACCCCUGAGCUGGAGUUGACCUGAAUGGUUCUUCCCCUGAGGACUAACUUUCAUGCAACUGGGAUGUUCAAUGCAAGCUUCCAAAGGACGGAGGCCAACAACAGUCCUUCCCAGGUAAGUGUGGUCUUCACCCCUAUCAAGGAAACCUCUUGCAACUGAGAGCACUACAGUAAACCACAACCAAGCAAAACGCAGAGUAGAGGAGCCCUGUCCCCAUGGAUACAUCUACAAAGCACUCUCACGAGACCCCAGGCUCAGGGAACACUGCAGGAGAGGGGCCUGAAGGAAGCCCCUCCUGUCAGAAUGCCUUUCCCAGUGCCUGCGAUGCAAGCCACUGUUUUCCUCUAGCGUUUCACCAGAGCUUCAUCCAGAGUCCAAACGGGCCGUCUCGACCAACCCUGUGUCCUCAGCGUGUUAAACCAUGCCUCACUUCAUUUUACAUACAGAUCGUUUAUCAGGAUAUGCAUUCGGGGGCUGUGCUGAAUGUCUGCCAUCCUUUGUGUCUGGCCACUGUCCAUUGCCUAACAAGCCCUGGGCCAUAAGGAAGUAGAAUUUGAAAGGAGAACAGAGUGUAUCUGGUUUUGCCAACCCCAGUCUAUGAAAAAGCAGGCAGGAGUUCUCUGCUGCCAGCACCGCUGGAGUCUGGAUCCAUCCAGCCCGCUCUUCAGGAGCCUGUGGAGGUCAGUGGUUCCUACCGCUCAGAACAAGAGUUUGGCUUUGACUCAGAUUUGGAAGGGCAUCCCCUCCUGCUUUGCUUAAACACUUGGUAUUAAAAAGAAGUGGACUCUCAAUACAAAAGAAAGACUGCAGUUGGAAUAAAGACCACGUGGUCUGUUCAGGGAUACAGGCAGCAUUGGAGACACAUGCCUUUAAUCUCAAUACCAACCAUAGAAGACCUGGAGGUCUGUACAGACAGGCAGUGACAAGGCGGUCAUGUGGUUGGGUUUACAACCAAAGAGAAGGCAGAACCGAAAGUCUUUAUAAAGACUUUAACACAGGAUGUAGCUCUCUUUCGGAGAGGUAGGACCACCGCAGGAGGAAGGAAACCACCGAAAAUCUUCAGCAAGAAGAUUUGGCCCAUUCACAGCAAGGCAGAAAGGAUCUCAGCGCUGAAAGGGGGAUGUGGACAUAAGAUCCCACCCCUAAGCAAGAAGUUAUCUUCAAUUGAUAAUCACUUGCAAAGGAAAAAUGAGUGUUCUCCAGUGGACUACACUUAAGGGCAGGCCCAAUGUCCAACGGUAAAAGGCCAAUACAAAACGAACUCAAUGAGCCUUCAUCCAGUAACUGAUGGAAGCAAAUGCAGAGAUCCACAGCCAAGCACCAGGUCAAGCUCCAGGAGUCCAGUUGAAGAGAGGGAAGAUUGACUCUAUGAGCAAGAGGGACCAAGAUCAUGAUGGGGAAAUCUACAGAGACAACUGAACCAAGCUCAUAGGAACUCACCAACUUUAGACCAUCAGUUGUGGAACCUGCGUGGGACUGGACUAGGCCUUCUGCAUAUGUGAGACAGUUGUGUAGCUUGGUCUGUUUGAGGGGCACCUGGCAGUGUGAUCAGGAUCUAUCCCCGGUGCAUGAGCUGCCUUUCUGGGGCCUAUUACCUAUGGUGGGAAGCCUUGAUCAGCCUUGAUGCAGGGAGGAGGGGCUUGGUCCUGCCUCAACUGAACGUACGAGGCUCUGCUGACUCCCCAUGGGAGCACUUACCCUUUUGGAGGAGAGGAUU
Peromyscus californicus insignis is the source of this 2370-nucleotide long non-coding RNA. RefSeq lists it as uncharacterized. NCBI's taxonomy places the organism in Eukaryota, Metazoa, Chordata, Mammalia, Rodentia, Cricetidae. The record is from RefSeq and is a predicted model, not a curated record. The transcript is spliced from 8 exons.